RNAcentral lists this long non-coding RNA (1456 nucleotides) under Pogona vitticeps (central bearded dragon). RNAcentral's name for it is "lncRNA (ENSPVIG00000018955.1)". The record is from RNAcentral. Lineage: Eukaryota; Metazoa; Chordata; Lepidosauria; Squamata; Agamidae.
UAGUGAAAAAAAAUGCAUGCACACACUCACAUAUACACGAUCAUGCCCUCUAGUGACCCCAGGACAAUCUGGUGUGUGUGAUGGUGACCCAUAUUUGGGGAUGGGUGACCUGGCCAACAGUAAAUAAGUGAAACUGUGAAGUCUUAGCACCAACGUGUGCUUUUCAGUCAUAAAAAAAAUACAAACACAUGCCCACCCACCAAGGACAACAGAAAGUAUAUGGUGGCUAGGCUGCAUAUGGGGAGGAAGGGAAGUUCAAUGCACACGUAUCUUGGAAACAAAUCUGGGAAGUGAAAACUGAAAUUAUCCCAUGGUUGCCACAUUGUCAUGGUUGAUGCAGGGAAAGGGGGAGGAAAAGGGCAAUAGCAAAUGAGAAUGAGUGUAAAAUGUAACCAGGUGAGGAGAAAGAGAGAACAGGAUAAUCCAAACCUGAUGUAAGAAAGUAUCCACCCAACAAUAGACCAGAUGGGCGGGAUAUAAAUCAAACAAAUAAACAAACUAACAAACAAAAGAACCUCAAAAUGUUUCAGUCAGAAGCAGCUCAGAAUAUACUGGCUCUGACAGACCCCUUGAUUUUUGGAAAGGGCAAAUAAAAUCACACAGGAUUUGCAGGAAAACUGUCUAGUGCAAAAUGAAAUAAUGGAGGAAUGCCAUAUGGAUGCUAUAAAGAACUCAGGUUUGCCAUUAAGUCAGGAAGGACUGGAGGACCCACAACACACAUACUUUCCCAGCCUACUAGAAAGACUUCAGACUCAAAAUGCAAACCAAGCAGACACCUGAAAGGUCUUGCUAACAUCUGAAUGACAAGGUCAAGGAAAAUGUCUGGCGAGACGCCCCACCUUUCCUUUGGUGGUUGUUAUUACCUGCUGCUCUUUCUCAGAACAAGGACAAUUCAAGUAAAAUCUUCCUGGAGGCAUGAAACCUUCAAUUAAUAUACAUGACAAAAAUGUCAGUGUGCAAAAGGAAAGAGAAAAGGGCUUUUUUUUAUAAUUGCCUGUCUCAAGAUUUAUUGAGAUAUCCCCAUCACAUUAAAUUGGCAUUACAAGAUCAUUUUAUUACAAGUAUACAGAUGCUAUGCUUUGAGUAAUAUAUUUAGGAAUUUAUUUUCUGAUGGAAAACUAGAAGACUAGAAAAGAAGGGGAAAAGGUCAUUCAUUACCGAUUCUUCCCCAAGACAAAGGAAGUGCUUAAGUGAACAAGACAGGGAGGUUGUGGGCCUAUGUGAGAGAAAAGAACCUUUGAUACAAAUACACAUUUGUAAAAACAAUAAGUAAAGAUUGUGUUUGUGUGUUAAGCAACCACCUUGAAAUUGAUCUGCCUUCAAUGUCCAAACAACUGCAGUCUACCUUACCAUGAAUGAUUUAUGACAUUCAUGAACCUGGCAAGUGCAUCAGCUUUUUUUAGAAGGUGCCAUGCAACACCUCCUGCAUAUUAAAUAAAGAUUUAUUUUACACACA